AGGCAAAUAAGCCAGCUUGUGGAAGGGGCCUCUGGGUGGCAGCUCUGGGCUUUUGGGUGUUGGACAACCAUAGGCAAAACUGAAAUGGAACAGGGGCAGAAAAUAGCACACUUUUACUCUACGCAACUGUUGCUUUUUCAUGAUCUUCAGGAAUUUUACUGGGAUAAUUAUCCAAAUAAAUUGCAAGCAUUCUAUCCAAAUGGACAUCCAUAAAAAUUCAUCAGAGAGCAUUUUACUACUGAGCUGCAAAGGGAAAAACUUAAAAUGGAUAUGAAAAGUGAAGAAAGUGAUCAUAGGAGAAAACCAUUUCAGAUGACAAGAGCACCUCAAAGGCAGCAGCCUCAAGGAGCAGCCAUGGCCCCAGACUUGUCGCACGGAUGCAGAAAACUUAAUGGAGGAGGCUGAGGUCAGAAUGGGAAGAGUUUUUAAAAAAUAAAAAGGGGAGCUAAUAUGUGAGGAACUGAUUGCUGUGCAUUAUUUUCCACUGAACAGACCUUCUUUUAACUUCUAAUCUCAAGCACAUAGCAGCUGUUGUUUUCAUAUUAAAGAUCAGUAAGUGUUUGUUGAAUGAAUGUAUAAAUUCUUCCCCAAUCUCUGUUCCAUGUAAUAAGAACUAAGUUAGCAUUCAAUUAUAAAGAGGACUUAGAAAGUCUGCAGACAUUUUUGAUCAAAAAUCCUUUUAACUGUCUUCUUAUGGUUCCCGGUAACACCUAAGCCCAAAAAACUCAGGUCAUUUCUUGCCUGUACUGUUGCAAUAGCCUCAUAAUAACUAGUCUUCUCCUUUAUCAACCACAGUCGUCUCCGCUACACAAAGAAGAGAGGGUGCUAAUCUAAAGUGUAAAUUAUUUUAAAUCAGCACCCUUCUUGUAAUUUCCCAGUGGUUUUUCCUGUCAUAAGAAUAACAUGCAAAAUUCCUUGCUUGCAAAGCCAGGUAUGACCUUGCCCCGUCUACCUUACUGGCAUCGUCUCUCAUGACUCUUCCCCUUUUUCACUCUCCAUCUUGCCUUUUCCCAACCAUGCCUGCUAGUGAGCCUUAGCCCUUGUGUUUUCUCUGCCAGGGAUGCAUGACUGGCUUCUUUACUUUAUUCUGAUCUCUCUGCUCAAAUGUCAUCUUUUUAGAGAUAGCUUUCCUAAACAUCUUUAAAAGUACCCCAUGAACUGUGAAACACCUUUCCUGCUUUUUCUUCAUAGUACUUAUCACUUCCUGAUAUUAUGUUAGACAACAAGCAAAUAAGUAUAUGCUGUUCCCACUAAAAUAUAAGCUCCAUUUGAACAGGAGCCUUGAUUAUUCCUGAGUAUACCCCUAGUGCCCAGAACCUAGUAGGGCUUUAAUAAAUAUUAGAUUCAUUUGUUGAAUGAAAAAAUGAAUGAAUAAUUGAAUAAAGAUAUCCAGGUAGAGUGUCCGGGCAGCCCAACCUAUGUGAAGCCAGUACAAGAAUGUUUCUGUGACAUAGUGAGCGCAAUUAUUCCUCUAAAUGAUGAACUUGCAUGAGUACACAAGGAUAAAAUUAAGCACGUAGUUUAGAUUUCUGCAAGUCUCUUCCUCAGAUUGAGGAAAAACAAAGAAAUUGAGCUUAUUCUCACCUCAUUCUUACAUGAACUAAAUCCAGAAUAAAGCAUCAUUUAAAUACCAAGCACAUCCCUACCUCAGCCACUCAUGGAAUACUUUAUCUGUAAAGGGACAGAUAGAUAGUAAAUAUUUUUGGCUUUGGGGACCGUACAGUCUGUGUCGCCACUACUCAGCACUUCUGUUGAGGUGUGGAAUCAGCCCUAGACAACACAUAAACAAAUGGGUGUGGCUGUGUUCCAAUAAAAUGUUAUUUAUAAAACUAGGAAAUCAGCAGAUUUAGUCCACAGGCUGUAGUUUGCUGACCCUUGAAUUAGAGAGUCUUCCCCAAAUCCUCUUCCCAAGUUAUUGAAAGAAUGCCCAUAGGACCAUAGCUCCCUCACCUGGUUCUUUCAAGAAAUGAGACAAAUUCAGGGAUGGUUGGAGGGUGGAACGCCUACCUGUGACAUGACUAUUGAGCCUGAUUUCUUUCCUUUUAUCUCUUUAAAGUGAGUCAGGUCUUAACUUUAAACUGUCUCUAAAGUGGCAAUAACUGGGCCAUGUCAAAUACUCCCAAUGACAAAAUUUCUUCUUGGAGAAUGAAUGAGGGUUGCAUACAGUGGUGUGUUGGUAAAUGUUUAGCAACUGGCUCUCUUACUGAUUUCUGUAGUGUAAAUUCUCCCAUCCUGGCCAUCUGAAACUACCAAUAUGAUGUCACUUGAUGUAGAGUUGGGAAAAGACAGUCUCUUGAAUAAGUAUGAGCUGGUUCCAGCCCACUGCUGAACACAUAUUUAAAAGCUACAAUAGCUCUGCUCACUGCCAUUGCAGAGUCUGGAGGAAAGAGUAGCAGGCUUGAUAGGAGCAAUUGGCUGAAUAAUCUUUUGCAAUGCCAAUAAAUAAUGAAAAAGUAUAUAAAUAUAACGCUGUAUAGAAAGCUCUCAAGUUCAGUGUUUGGUUAAAAUACAUACUCAGUAAAUGGUAGCUAUUAUUGUCUUAGUUUAAGUUAUUGCAAGCAUUAAAAUUAAAUGUUUAGCUACAGACUCAAUCCAGUUUUAAUGUCAUUGUGUUAAUAAGGCCUCUUAACAUUGAAGCAACAAAGAUAAAGGAAUUUUUUUGUAGCUAUUCACGAUUCUGCCCAGCUCAAGGUAAAGAUAGCAACAAAAUACUCCAACCAGAAUAAAAGAAGUCUCCACUUGACUGCAGCUCUUCGCAACACUUCACAAGGGUCAAGCUGUGUUAGUUUCCUUCAGUGUUAAACAGAAUGCAUCUUAAGAGAAUAGUUCAAUUAUUGAUUGAAUAGUAGGUUCAAGUUGACUAUAAUCCCAACUAAUACACUCUAAGACCAGGGAUGGGCCGACAGAAGGGUAAAGUUUUCCACUCAAGUCUCGAGGCAAACACUCAGAUAGAAGUAGUAAUAUGGAUGCCUUCUAUUAUUUGGUCACAUACAAUACUGUUCCAGCCCAGUUGUGCAAAACUGGUGAAAUAAAAGGCAAAAAUAUUGACAACAGUUUGGGUAACUGGAUUCCAAAAUGGGCAUCCAUCUAAGAGAAAUUAAUGAAAAAAAAGCAUAUGGACCUUGAAAUACAUUAAUACACAGUUUAGGUUUAAACACUCAGUUUUUAUUAGAAAAGACUAACUUAUCCUGUUUUGAACACUACAAAAGUGCUUUCUGAACCAUUUACUCUCAAACCUCCUCCACCCAUUCCCCUCCAUCUAUAACGCUUUCUGCACAUCUGUAAAAGGUAUGACUUAGUGUUUGGUCUGUGAAAUAAGGUUAAAAAGGAAGCAUUUCUUUUUACAUUCUAGCUAAUGUUGAUAUUUUUCUCAUGCUUCUAUUAGCACAUAAUUCAGAUACAUUAGUUUUGAAGUUUUGAAUCUUCUCUGCUUCUUGAGGGCUCUCUGUUCUAGAUCAACAUGAUCUGUGGAACACCAGCCAAGUCCUGGGCAGAACCCUCCCCGUUGUCCAAAUAUUACUGAAUCAGUUGAGUUUUCUCUGUUGUCAAUGAAUUAUUCCACAUGUUUCUUUGGCUACAUUUUUUUUGGCUUUCUGUUCACAGUAAAUAUA
This 3611-nucleotide long non-coding RNA is filed under the name Homo sapiens (human). RNAcentral's name for it is "mir-99a-let-7c cluster host gene". Lineage: Eukaryota; Metazoa; Chordata; Mammalia; Primates; Hominidae. The record is from RNAcentral.